This 220-nucleotide ribosomal RNA is filed under the name uncultured prokaryote. Its description in RNAcentral is "partial 16S ribosomal RNA". It matches the Rfam family "Bacterial small subunit ribosomal RNA", at positions 524 to 743 of the family's 1533-position model. The record is from RNAcentral.
UACGGAGGGUGCAAGCGUUGUUCGGAAUUACUGGGCGUAAAGCGCGUGUAGGCGGCUCCCUAAGUCUGAUGUGAGAGCCCGGGGCUCACCCCCGGAAGUGCAUUGGAAACUGGGGAGCUAGAGUACCGGAGAGGAGGGUGGAAUUCCUGGUGUAGCGGUGAAAUGCGUAGAUAUCAGGAGGAACACCGGUGGCGAAGGCGGCCCUCUGGACGGAUACUGA